CGUUAAGUUACUUAAAGCAAGUUAUGAUCUCUUAAAUCAUUAUAUAGUAAAGUUGCGUUUACUCUUAAUGG
Molecule: transfer RNA, 71 nt
Filed under: Petalocephala ochracea
Lineage: Eukaryota; Metazoa; Arthropoda; Insecta; Hemiptera; Cicadellidae
Description: tRNA-Lys
Source: RNAcentral